This 501-nucleotide ribosomal RNA is filed under the name uncultured soil bacterium. Its description in RNAcentral is "bacterial SSU rRNA". It matches the Rfam family "Bacterial small subunit ribosomal RNA", at positions 26 to 513 of the family's 1533-position model. The record is from RNAcentral.
AGAUUGAACGCUGGCGGCAUGCCUUACACAUGCAAGUCGAACGGCAGCACGGGAGCAAUCCUGGUGGCGAGUGGCGAACGGGUGAGUAAUACAUCGGAACGUGCCCAAUCGUGGGGGAUAACGCAGCGAAAGCUGUGCUAAUACCGCAUAAGAUCUACGGAUGAAAGCAGGGGACCGCAAGGCCUUGCGCGAAUGGAGCGGCCGAUGGCAGAUUAGGUAGUUGGUGGGGUAAAGGCUCGACCAAGCCUUCGAUCUGUAGCUGGUCUGAGAGGACGACCAGCCACACUGGGACUGAGACACGGCCCAGACUCCUACGGGAGGCAGCAGUGGGGAAUUUUGGACAAUGGGCGCAAGCCUGAUCCAGCCAUGCCGCGUGCAGGAUGAAGGCCUUCGGUUGUAACGUGUCUUUUGUACGGUAACGAAAAGGUUACUUUACUUAAUAAAGAAGAGCUCAUGUACGGUACCGUAAGAAUAAGACACCGGACUAACUACGUACGACCG